GAUGAACGCUGGCGGCGUGCCUAAUACAUGCAAGUCGAGCGAACAGACGAGGAGCUUGCUCCUCUGACGUUAGCGGCGGACGGGUGAGUAACACGUGUAUAACCUACCUAUAAGACUGGGAUAACUUCGGGACACCGGAUCUAAUACCGGAGGAUAUAUUGAACCGCAUGGUUCAAUAGUGAAAUACGGCUUUGCUGUCACUUCUAGAUGGAUCCGCGCCGCAUUAGCUAGUUGGUAAGGUAACGGCUUACCAAGGCGACGAUGCGUAGCCGACCUGAGAGGGUGGUCGCCCACACUGGAGCUGGGACACGGUCCAGACUCCUACGAGAGGCAGCAGUAGGGAACGUUCCGCAGUGGGCGAGAGCAUGACGGAGCGACGCCGCGUGAGUUAUGAAGGUCUUGGGAUCGUAAAACUCUGUUACUAGUGAAGAACAAAUUUGUAAGUAACUAUGCACGUAUUGACGGUACCUAAUCAGAAAGCCACGGCUAACUACGUG
This 497-nucleotide ribosomal RNA is filed under the name uncultured bacterium. Its description in RNAcentral is "partial 16S ribosomal RNA". It matches the Rfam family "Bacterial small subunit ribosomal RNA", at positions 28 to 507 of the family's 1533-position model. The record is from RNAcentral.